Molecule: ribosomal RNA, 403 nt
Filed under: uncultured bacterium
Lineage: Bacteria
Description: partial 16S ribosomal RNA
Rfam family: Bacterial small subunit ribosomal RNA
Source: RNAcentral
AUUGAACGCUGGCGGCAGGCCUAACACAUGCAAGUCGAGCGAGCGGCGGACGGGUGAGUAAUGUAUGGGGACUGCCCGAUAGAGGGGGAUAACUACUGGAAACGGUGGCUAAUACCGCAUACUAUCGGAUAACCCAUAUGGGAUUAGCUAGUAGGUGGGGUAAAGGCUCACCUAGGCGACGAUCUCUAGCUGGUCUGAGAGGAUGAUCAUCCACAAUGGGGUUGAGACACGGCCCAGACUCGUACGGAGGAAACAUAGGGGAAUAUUGCCCAUUGAGCUCAAGCCUGAGGCAGCCAUGCCACGUGUAUGAAUAAGGCCUUAGGGUUGUAAAGUACUUUCAGCGGGGAGGCGUUACCCGCAGGAGAAGCACAGGCUAACUCCGUGCCAGCAGCCGCGGUAAUAC